GCAGGUGUGAUGCUGCACACAUGUAGUCCUGGCUGAUUAGGAGGCUGGGGCAGGAGGAUUGCUUGAGCCCAGUGUGGGCUGAAGUGUGCUAUGCUGAUUGGGUGUGCGCACUAAAUUUGUCAUCAAUAUGAUGACCUCCUGGGAGUGGGGGACCAUCAGGUUGCCUAAGGAGGGAUGAACUGGCUCAGGUUGGGAACAGAGCAGGUCAAAAUUCCUGUGCUGGCCGGGCGCAGUGGCUCACGCCUGUAAUCCUAGCACUCUGGGAGGCCAAGGCGGGCGGAUUGCUCGA
RNAcentral lists this signal recognition particle RNA (289 nucleotides) under Microcebus murinus (gray mouse lemur). RNAcentral describes it as "Metazoan signal recognition particle RNA (ENSMICG00000029573.2)". It matches the Rfam family "Metazoan signal recognition particle RNA". Rfam says of the family: The signal recognition particle (SRP) is a universally conserved ribonucleoprotein. Lineage: Eukaryota; Metazoa; Chordata; Mammalia; Primates; Cheirogaleidae. The record is from Rfam by way of RNAcentral.